AGGACCCACCCUGCUUUCUGCCUUUGAGCUCAGGACACCUGCUCUAACUUACCCCCACCUCCCUUUUCGGAUGACAUCAGAAGUGCAAAUCCAGUCCACAGUGCACAUGGCUCUCAUCCCUAAUGAAUGCAGCGGAGCCUCAGGAAUCCAAACCCUACUAUCCCCUCAACUACUAUCACUGAGGAGGCAGGGUGGAGUAGCAGUUAACACACUGGCUUUGGUGCCAGGCAGCCUGGCAUCAGAACCUGGCUCCACCUCAGACUGGCUGUGUGAGCUCUUGCAAGUGACUGGUCCCUCGGCAUGGCAGUGGCCUCUCUUCUGAGAAUGCAGGUCUCAGCAGUGCUCAUCGGGAAGAUGGCUGUGGAGAUUAAACGGAAACAGCCAUGUUGAUUUAAAUGACCUCAUUAUGUAUUAACUACGAAUCCUCUGAAGCAGAUGCUCUGAAGAAUGGCUGUUCUCUGAAAACAUUCUUUGAUGUAUUUUGGAGCCGUGUUUCUCAACCUUGGCUGCACAACUCAUAUGGAGAGCUUUAACAAUUACUGAUGAGAUGCUAAUGUAAUUGGUCUGGGGUGCGGCCUGGGCGUCUGGGUUUUAGAAGCUUGCCAGGUGAUUAUAAUGUGCCACCAGGCAUGAGCAGCACUGAUGAAGAUCAGGGGUUCUCCAAGUGUGGUCUCUGCAUCAGCAGCAUCAACUUCUCCCAGAGACGUAUUAGAAAUGCAAUUUCCUGGCCUCACCCCUGACCUACUGAAUCAGAAACUCCAGGUGAGUAAUAAGCCUUCCAGAUAAUUCUAAUGCAUGCUAAAGUUUG
Molecule: long non-coding RNA, 808 nt
Organism: Eptesicus fuscus (big brown bat)
Lineage: Eukaryota; Metazoa; Chordata; Mammalia; Chiroptera; Vespertilionidae
Exons: 3
Source: RefSeq, a predicted model, not a curated record